GGGCUGCCCUCCCUUGGUUUCCAUGGCAACCAAGGCCUGCGCAAAGACCCUCCCCUCCCUCGAGGGUGGGUUUGUUGGGGGGUUUUUUGGAGGGAAAUGGCCCCCUGAGGCGAGCCUCCACCUCCACCUUCUCCACAGCCCGCUGGCCUUUGGGCCUGAACCUCCCAUGGAUUGAUAAGGUCUUGUGGAUAUUUUCACAUAAAUUGCAGGAAGUGACUUAUGGAUCAAGGCCCUCCAACCAGCAGAAGACCAAGCAGCCUGGACAGACAUCACCCCACAGUUUGGCUUCCUGGAUUUCUCCAGAGCAAUUACGUGACACAGCCAGAGACACAUGUGUGUGCCGAGGGAGUGUGACCUGUGACCACAGACCAACAAGCAUUCCUUCUCCCCAGGGCUCUGAAGACCGUUUGGGAGGCAAUGUCAGAAGAAUGGUGGAGAGCUGAUCCAUCGGCCCUGCUCUGAGGAACGAGAUCGACCAGGUAGAAAUGAGGUUGGGGAAAACUGGCCCAUGGCCCUUGGAAUUGCUGCCUUGUCUGUUCAGAGUAAGCGGGAAAGGAUUUCUUGAGUUGCCACACGUGUUUUAAAGGGGAAGAUGAUUCUGUGCAUGUACCUUUUCUGCCUAAUCGGAUCUAUACGUAUUUUUGUAGUUGGGUGUUGGCAACCAAAUACCAAGAAAGAAGCAAUCCCUUGCUGGUCCCCAUGUGCCUUUCGGCGCACUUAUAUGUUUCUUCCUUUUGGUCCGAGAAUAUAAUGAAAGUGCCCUCACAUUGGCCAUCUUGGAAAUGCCUUAGAGGAGAGGCAGGUCAGGAACAGGAGGAGACACCCCCCACACACACACACACCAUGGUUUGUGUUGAUAGCCAAGAGAGAACAAAUCUAGUGGCCUUGGCAGUUUGAUAGGACUUUGGCCAAAAAAAAAAAAAAAAAUCCUAGUGAGAUGGGUUUUGGUUCAGUUUGGAAUUAAUGCUGGAGAAAACCAGGCAGUGAAUGAGGAAUGUAAAAGUAAAGUCUUGGAGCUUAGACUUAAAUUUCUCAUUUACACAUACUUGCAUUUAUACUAAGUUAUAGUGAUAGGUUUAGCUAAUGCAAGACAAGAGUGUGUGUGUAGAUAGAUAGAUAGAUAGAUAGAUAGAUAGAUAGA
This 1141-nucleotide long non-coding RNA is filed under the name Pogona vitticeps (central bearded dragon). RNAcentral describes it as "lncRNA (ENSPVIG00000024886.1)". Lineage: Eukaryota; Metazoa; Chordata; Lepidosauria; Squamata; Agamidae. The record is from RNAcentral.